This is a long non-coding RNA of Drosophila yakuba, 19727 nucleotides long. RefSeq lists it as uncharacterized. The record is from RefSeq and is a predicted model, not a curated record. NCBI's taxonomy places the organism in Eukaryota, Metazoa, Arthropoda, Insecta, Diptera, Drosophilidae. The transcript is spliced from 2 exons.
ACAUCUACAGCUGCAACCGAAGCAGCAACAGCAAAAGCAACAGCUACAACUUCCCAUUGCGUGACGCAGGCCCUCAGCCUUGAGGCUUGAGGCAUGCCACACAGGCGUCCACAUAGGUGGACAGUCAAAUUGCCUACACAAUGGACGAUGCACGAUGGGUUGCGAUGCGAUGCAAUGCGAUGGGAUGGGAAUUCUGCAAUUAUUGCUGCAAUCGCUCUUGCGCCCAGACUCUCACGCAAAAGCGGAAAUUUUAAUUUCACUCCGGCUCGCGUGCUCCCGAUUCGCUUUUCGGCUCGUAAUGAGCGUGGAACACACUCGACGGAUGUAAUGACGGACUGCCGGACUGUUGGACUGCCGGAUUGCCGAAGUGACUGAGUGGCUGACUGACUGACUGACUGGUGGCAUGGAGCUGCAUGCGGCAUUAAUGCAAUUAGGUGGAGUCUCAAUUUCAGUCGCCGUCUGCGGCUCAGUCCGGUGGUGUUGCACUUGAAAUGGGUUUGUGGGCCACGCACCGCACAUCCUGCAUUUCCGCCUCCUCCCCAGACGCACUUCAUCCCCAUCUUAAUCGAAUCAACACACUUGACAAUGUGGCGUGAAAAAUCUUGCGCCAGCAUCAAUUUUCAUUUAUGGGCCAGGGCGAAGGCGAAGGCAAGGCGAUGGCGAUGGGGAAGGACACCUUGUUGAGGUGGAAGCAAAAUGAGUGAAUACAUCAGCAGGAUGCCCCAGAGACCGGAGAGAGGGGGCGUGGCACAAGGACAAGACGUAUGUGGGCGGCGGUGUCACAUUAUCGUGCUGUGGCAACAUAAAAAAUUCACCAACUAAUUUGUGCGCUUCACAAGGACACCCAAAUGAAGCAGCGGCAUGGGGCAUGCCUCAUCCUCAUCACACCGCCUCACGCCUCCUGAACUGUCGCUAAUUUUAUGACAAACGACAGACAGGCCGCUGAGAGAUAUAUUUAAUGGGGAGCGAGGGCUCCUUCAUCACCUGGCACAUCGUACAUCAAUUUCGGGGGCAGCGACAGGAACGAGGCCGAAGGACAUGCCUCAUAAUUCUCAACUAGCUGGGAGCAGUCCAGGUCCAGGUCGCCAGUCGCAAGUCCAAGAUAAAUGGCAAAUGGUGCUACAAAUGGUCUCGUGUCUCGUUUGCACCCAACAAAAAUCAGAGAAAAAGUGCCAGUAAUUCGAACGAAGAAGUUCAUUUUAUUUAUGGCUUAUUCAGAGUAGUCAAAGUGGGGAAUUUAUGAAUGAAGUUCACAUUAUGAAACAGGGCUCAGAUUGUUUCACUUUAUGUGAGCUGCAUCGAUUUUGGUUUCCUAAUUAUUCAUUGGUUACUCUGCGACUUAAAUAGUUUGCUUUGAGGUGAAGUGUGUGAAAGUAUAGUUGUAAGUGCCUUUGCUGCCGAAACGUGUUCAAAUAUUAAUUGAUACAAUUUAUUUAAAUUGAAGCCGAGAACUGCUGACUAACCACUGUAAUAACUGGCGUAAUGGGAGAACAUUUGCGCACACUCGUUUAUUUAUUCGAGUAUUUUCCACCUGGCAAACAUCAGACGUGAGUCAAAGUGAAAUAAAAAAUCAUUUACAUUUAAAUGAAAUAUUUUAUACUUUAUUUUAAGUAUUUGCUCAUGCAUAAAAUUGGCAUUUUUGCACUCUCCACUCAUUGCCAACUCACUCACUCCCUCCACCGGCGACCCUCUUCAUCAAAUAUCCCACAAAACAUAACCUGAGCCUGGGUCGCAUCGAAAACCAACAACGAAGGCCAAACUUCACCUUUGCCGGGAAAAAAAGCAACCGAGGGAAAAUCGGCAGAGAGCGGGAAAAGAGAGGAGACGAAAAUGAAAAGUGGAAAAUGUAUUUUCAACAAAUAACCCACAAAUUUUACAGCUGCCGUUUUCGUGCGGCUUCGGCGCCCCAAAAAAUAUGUUUUAUUAUUUGAAAGUCAAAUGGGGAAAAUGGCCCCAUCGAACCGAAGGGAGAGAGGGAGGGUGUGGAAAGUCAAGGACGUCCUCGCAGACAAACAAAGAAGGGCCACACAAAAAGGACAAGCCGCCAUUACAGCGGAUGUAAUGGGAACGGGAAAUGGAAAAUGGGAAAUGGAAGGAGCAGGUCUUAUCAAAAAGCCUACGCACGACCGGCUGCGGUGGUUUAGGCGUUUCGGGGUGGCUACCAGCUACAAGAAAAAUCCAGGCAGAGAUAGAGAGAUUGAAGCUGUCUGGACAAUUCGCCUUAACGAUGGCUAGGCUUCUUGCCUCAACUCUGCCCAGCAAUUUGCAAUUUGCCAGCAUUUUUGAAUAGUUAAUUAAGUGCGACGUGUUCUCCUUUACGCUAAGUACAUGCAGAAACUGUUGCUGCCCGAGGUGGCGGUGGCUUACAUCGAAUCCGACUUUGAAACACCCUGACACUAUGCUACUCGUAAGUAAUUCAUUUAGCUCCAUUGAUCACUAAACAAUUUGUCUGUCAGUUUCCACGGAAGCGGGCUUACUCGCAUAAAUAUUCAAAUACUUGUACACUUGUUGGUAGAUCGCAAAUCCUGUCACCUGUUUAAAGUGCCAAAUUAGGCGCGGAAGUUUCCUAAAGGAAUUACCUACGAAUUCGGAGACUCUCACUCCCUCACUCUCUCAAUUUUCGGGCUCACUCUGUUAAAUUGCUUUGCAAGCGUCACUACAAAUGGCGGGGUGUUUUGGGGGCGGCGAGGGGGCGUGGCCGGGCGGUAGGUAGUGGGCGUGGCACUUAAGUAAGCACAAAGCGUCUGCUUUAAGUGCCUCGAAAUUAUGCACAAAUUUCGAUGGUAUUAGUCAAAGUUUGGUAAUGGCUGCGACGGUCGACGUGAAAGGGGGCGGCCCAAAAAGGUGUGCGCCAUAAUUGUUAGCCUGUCUGACACUUGAUCCCCUCGGCCGGCGCUGUAAAGUAUUUUAAUUUUUCUAUUAUUUCAGCUGAAGCAACAUUAACCGCCGGCCGAGGCGUGGGGAACUCAUCAAAUUAGCAAUUGUUGCAUAUUUCCCGAGCCUAAGCUCUUUGUAAUUAGAGCCGCCUUCUGUUUCGAGUUCCAGCCACCUGGGGGGCUUUUGCUUUUGCUUUUCCUUUUGCUUAUGCUCGGGAUAGGGAUAGGGAUUGGGAUUCUGAUACGGCCGUCCAUUUGCUCGAGGACGUGGACGUGGACGAGGUCUAGACACGGGACAUCGAAGUUGCCAUGGGGAAGUUCCAAGAGGCGGCUCACAAAAGGCGGCUAUAAAUAAUUUAAUUGCCCUGGCCACAAAAGGCCGCCAAGGACCCGGGGGCCAUUGCAUGCUGGAGAAUAUGUCAAUAAGCCCCGGCACAGCCCAUUGAUUAUUUACACAAAUUAUUGCGUUGCCCUGGCGAAAUCAGCGAAGCGUCCUGCAAGAUGGCGACACGAGCUAGAAACUCAAACCCAACUCGAAAGUGGAAGGCCAAAAGCUGAUGGCUGAGGGAUGAGGGCUGAAAGCCAAGCAAAUCAGGGCCAAGUCGAUCCCCAGAAAGUCAACUUCAGCUUCAGCUUCAGCUUUAGCUCUUCACUCCCCUCCAAUUCGGGGUGUUAAUUUUGGAUUUAACUCGCUGAAGGUGGCAAACAAAAUUCCUCAGAGGCUGAUUAAAUUCGACCCGACCUUAAAGCGACAAUCCGUGGUCUCUCGUUAAACACAACUUUGAUUUCAGUACACAGAAGGGGAUUUCGAAAGUUGCAGGGGUAUUUGGUUAACCGUAACUUCACCAUUUAACAGGCGGAAGCCAUUAGGUUAUCUGCAAACUGGUUCAUUUAAAAGCAGAAGGUUUUUCACUUAUUUAGUGACGUUUAAAACUACAAACUAUGUGCAGCACUUGUUUGUUCUAAUAUGCAUGCUUUUUAUUACACGAUUCGCAGUCACUGAUUCGAUUUAUUUGCUAUGUACAUUAAAAGCAAUCAAUUUUUCAGCUUCGAUGGCUGCGCAUCUGCAAAUAAUUGUGUGCAAAUAUUUAAAUGAAUUCGGCUAAAGAUAAGCAAACGCGGGCUAAAAAAUGCGAAUGCCACAGGUAAUCCAAUAUCGCUGCUAUAAAUAGGCAAAAAACUCUUUUCGAUAAGCGGAAAUCAGAAAACGAGCUUCAAUUAAACGGCACUUCAUGUUUGCGUAAAAAAAAGAGUCAUUUUUUGCCAAUACGAGCACAUUUGUUUCGACCAGGAAUUACCUUUUGCAUUUUUUGCACUUCAUUUCGUUUCAAAGGUGCUUGCUUUGAAUAAAUUCCAUUGUAAUUCCAUUACUUGAAUGAUCCUUUAAUGAACUAAAUCCUCUAAUACUGAACAAUCGCCCAGUUUCAACUGAAUGCCUUGCCUUUUCGACCCACAAUUACCUUAAUCACCCGAACAAUAUUCUCCGUGAAACCACAAGUACCGAGCACAUCAAGCAAAAAGGUGUUGAUGGUAUAAAUAAUAUUGUUCUGGUGUCAGGUUAAAACGCUUUAUCCCCUGCUGUGGGUGACUGACUGGCGGCGAUGUUGGCAUUGUGUGUUGUGUAACACAAAUAUCCAAAAACGAGGAAAAACGGCAUAAUGCAGACAGACAGACGGAUGGACAGACAGUCAGUCAGUCGGAGUGUUUUGCCAAAUUCGCAGGUUGCCUCAUCGCCGCCCGUCAAACGCUCAAGCUUUCGUCCUUUUGGUCCUUCAGGACGCAUGACAGGCUGUUUGCGGGGUGUUUGUGUUUUCGGCUGACAUAUCAUACAUCAUAUUAUACGCACGAGCUGUCGGCGGGCGUCUGAUCCAGGAUUCUCCAGCGAAGGCGAGCAAUUAAUGUCAAUAACCCGCUCAUUAUGCGGUCCUGUAUGCAGCCCUCACCUCACCUCACCCACCGUUCACCAUUCACCAUUUACCAUUCCGGUUUUUGCCCCACCGGACUACAAUAUAAAUUUAAGUUUAUUUGUGCAACUGAAAUCUACAUAAUUGCUGUCGCCGCCAUAGACAACAAGCAAUAAAACUGAAGAAAGGACGAAAGCAAGCCACAUAAUAAUAAGACUUCGGCAACAAUGGGCUAACGGAAAAAAAGGAAAGCAGUUCGGCCGGGACAAGACGGGAUGGGUGAAAAGGAAAAGUGAGUAAAUAAAAAACGCGUAAAGUGGGUCAGAAGUGGAAAUGUGGAAAAGUGGAAGUGGAGGGCAGUGUGCAGCGGGAAAAGCCGGGGAAAGCGCUGCAUACUUCAGGGCUGAAACUGAAGCUGAAGCAAUAAAAGCCAACGAGCAGAAGUCCGUCCGCCGGCCAAAAGAGGGGGUGGUGGUGUAGGCGGUGGUGUGGGCGGUGGUAAGUGAAGUGGGUGGGCGGGUAGUUGGGGUGGUCUGUUACCAGAAUCGAGGACGCUUCUAGCCUAGGCCAACAACAACUACAGCACCGAGAUGUGCGUGCGUUUGCUGCCCCCUUGUUGUUAUUGUUCGACUCGCCAUUGUUAUUGUUGUUAAGCCAUUCAGCAGCAGUGGCAACAACAAUGACGACACUUUUACAGUCGCAACAACAACGAGAACAACAGCCACCGGGAGGAAAAAAGCCAUAGCAGUGAGCCAUAUUUACCCACUCAACAAUGGGCCAGGGCCAGCCAGUCAUCCAGCGAGCCAGUCAGCAAGCCAAAGUUGGCGCCCAGAUGGCGUCCAUCAACUAGGGAGCACAUAUACCAUGGCCCUGCUGUUCGCACAAUGGCACCUCGCAAGAAGCUUGUGCUGCUCCUAAAUAAAAGUCUGUUCUAUUUCGAUUCCGAUUCCGAUUCCCCUGCCCGUUGCCGUUGCCGUUGCCGUUCGUUUUCCCUUUCCCGUUCCCCCGACUUUAAAGCGGCUUAAAGCCAAGCUGGCGAACAUUAAUUACCGCAAUGAAAGCGCUAAAAGCUUUCCCGCCACAUGUGGCACACAGCGCACAGCUCGAGUGACAGAAAUUGUGCGAAUCAGCGGGCGUUGAGAUUUCCGCUUGCAAUCGAGCGCGUAAGUAGGGGAUACACUUUGAAAAUUACUUGUGAAACGAGACAUACAGCGUUAUAAAUUGUAACUAGUUUAAAGACUAAAUUACUAAUCCAAUCAGUCUCAGUUUCCCUGCAACGUGUUGUGCCCGCCUUUAAGCCUGAUCAUUAUAUAUACAUUUGAAUAUGCUCGCUUUUAAGUGUAGCACAACCCUUUCGAUGGCCACCUGGAAAAGUAGGCGAGGAGCGGAGAAAAGCUGUCGCAAAAAGUUGUGUAAUUUUCCCAUUUAAAUGCAUUAAGCUAUGCCUAAAAAGCCGCCAGCAACAAUUUGUAUGCCAAACACUAACGCCCACUGGCACACCCCCAACACACACACAAGCACACUCGCACACACACAUAGGGAUAACCAUACUCUGUUUACUUUCAUUUUGCAUAACAUUAGCGACAGGGACAGGUAGCCAAAGUUUCCCCGCCUUUCACCUUUUCUCGGGCAUUUUUCACUUUCAUCAAACACACACAAAACUGAGAGAGGGCGCAAAAAACCGAAACCGCAUAAAAAUUGAUGAGUUUCGUUUAUGGGUUGGCUGUGUGUGUGUGCUGGAGUGGGUGUGUGUGGCUGACACACAUGGUGUCCUUCCUUAACCCUCCGAUGGGCCCCGCACUUGGCUGCAUGCAUUAGGCACGCUCUACUUAAUCGCAGCGCUCAUCAAUAUGUAAGAGUGCCAAGUUUUCCAAGUCUGUUGCCCCCGAGAGCAAACACAAAAGCAACAUCAACAUCCCACAGAAGCGACAUCUACAGCAGCGACAUCUACAGCAGCAACAUCGCAUCAGCAACAAAAGCCGCAGCAGAAAUCCUUGUAUACAAAUUAGAAAAGCAAAUUGACGGGCGGGGGAAAAGCGAUAGAAGGUGGGUUGGUUUGGAUUGGUUUGGGUUGGACCGGUGACAGCACAUAAAUAUUUAUUAAAGAUGAAGAUACACCCAGCUACGAGAUAUCCUUGCAGUCCUGCAGCCUGCAUUAAUAUCCUGUGUGGAUACUGUGGAUACCGAAUCGCCAGAUAAAAAGGGGAAAUUACCAAAAACCGACAGCAACACAAGGUGCCGACAUCACAACUUUGCAACUUUUCCAGUGGCUGGAUCCGAAACUAAAGUCCCCCUUUUCGGUAAUUUUAUGACGGUCCCUUUUUCGGAAGAGUGACAAAACUAUUAGCAUAUGGUGGGGUGCCCCAAAAUAGAUCCCACACCCUUGGCCAAGCAGUUAAGCAUUGUAAAACAAGGCAAUUUACCAUAAUGCCAUAAUGCAAAGGGCUCCCAGGGCCACACAAACAUUUGAAUAGUUGUGAAACUAGAUAAAAUAAUGAAUUGCGGUCAUUUGAUGGUGGAAGUUUCGGGCUAAAACUAUUUUCCAUUGGAAGCCAAAGCUCCUGAGUGCUGUCAAUCUGCAUGCUGAGUAUUCUGGAUUAUCAUAAAGUGGCAGAACAAGCUUUCAAAUUUAAUUCGAUAAGCAUUCUCGGCCAUGAUAUAAUUGCUGGAGUGAAGAAACAUAAACGUUCCGGGCUAGCCAUCAAUUUGAGCAGCUUUAAGGAGCUCAGAAGGUCUUUUGAAUUUGUUUUUAAACUGCCACAUAAAUCAUUUAAUCAUUGUCUUCUGACUAGACUGAACUCCUUAAAACCUUAAGGUUACAAUUUAAAUGCCAAUCUAGAGGCUGUUUUCUUGGAGGAAAACCAAAAGUGAAGUAAGUAAAUUAGCGUAGCCUACUUUUCCCGGCCUCGGAAUAAAAUCAAUACUGUGGCAAGAGAGCACCUUGUUCCUUCAUUUUUAAAAGCAACCGCUAAACGACGAGCAUCAAGCUCAGGUGCAAAAAAUGGAAGCAGUUUGCUGGGCAGGUGAGUGGGGCGGAAGCUGACGAGCACUGACAUUACAUGCAUUAGAAGCUAUUAGAACGUUUCGAAAGGAUGCGGCAGAAUCAAAGGGCUGCGAGGACGAGGCGCGGGCCCCAUCGGCAUUCGAUCCCCCGCUGAUGGCUGUCGUAAUCAUCGGGCUAUAGAUAGCAGGAGCAGGAGCAGAAUCAGGAGCCCGUGCUGGAGCAGUCAGGCAUCCCGUGAGGCAGCGCUGGGAAAAGGCAAAAAGUUGCCACGGCGCACACUUUGCCGUGUCAUUGAACGUCGUAAUGGCUUCAGCAUCCAUAUGUGUGCCACAUCCUUGCACACACACACACACACACACACACACCGAUUUACAGGAUAGCUAUCCGACGGCGGAUGUCGGCACAUAUGAGUCUGGGUCUGUGCCCGUGUCUGAGUCUGUGUGGAAUUUAAAUAAAUUAAUACGCUGUAUUAGACACAUAUUAUCGGAGGGUGGGGAGCAGGUCCUUCGACGAGCGAUUUCCGCACUAGAAAUCAGCCAAAAGUUAAAGGUGAAAGUGCAUGUGGCAUGCCACACACGGUGUGUUAGAUACGCUUGAGUGCCCGCCGGAAUGCCAACAGCCACAUAGCCACGUAAAACCCGGUAAGCAAAGCCAGCUACAUACAAAAAAAAACCGUGGAAGUCAAACAUCCUGAUUAAGUUUCAAAAUAAUAUACAAGCUGACAAAUCUAAAGCAGUCAUAACUGUAUAAAAGCUAAUUUGUUUUAGCACCUUAAAUCUCUGAAGGACAGUUUUGAGUAGUAUGGAAAUAUAAGAAAUAGAAACACUACAGUUUUCCCUCAGUGUAGCGGCAAGGGCAUCCCAGCCAGCUGUUACUAAAAUUCAAUAACAAAUGCAUAUUUAAGCGGUUCUGCGAAGUAUGCAAGAUAGAGAAGGAGUAAGCAAAUGAAGAAGAAAGAUGCAUAUAUCUGCCAAGGGAGCGAGGAGGACGGAGAGAGUGCAGGGAAAGAGAUGGACUACCUUCUGGUUGCAACAAAAUUUUAAUGACACCACAAAUCUUCGCUCUUCGCCACCGCCACCUCUUUCCCACUGUAGCCACGUCGUAGCCAAACUCCCGAUUGAAAUUCCGAUGCAUUUCACUUUUUGUGGAGCAACUGCCGUUGCUGGAAAAUUAUUUUAUACAGCCAUAAAUCAAAGCCAGAGGUCGCAACCCUGAUUUUCCCAAAGCGCCGCUGUGUAGGUACGUGUAUACGAGUAUUCGAGUAUUCGUAUACCUUGGAGACAAAUGUCGAGCUAGGGGCAAAGUUUUAAUGAAGGCCUAAGCAAGCAAAUAUGGCAAAGUUUCUCGAAGGCGGCCAGUAAAAUGAUUUCAAUAAUCAACAAGGAAUAGCAAGGCGCAAAAGUUUUCCCUCGCAAUUCGCAGAGGGUGGAGGGCUGAAAAGUGAGUGGAAAACGGGAUGGUUUGUCUGCGAGUGUAUUUACAAAAUGGAAAUUGAAAGCCAAUAAGUGCGAGAAGUUGUUUUCUUUUCGCCCGCUAGAUAAUCUGCAUCUUGCAUAAAAUUGUGAUACUUUUAUGCCAGAAGUUGUUUUGCCAUUCCACAUUUUAAUGCCGACCCCAACGACCAUGAUUUGCGAACGUGGGGCACAAGUCGGUGGCACAAGUCGGGGCAUUUUAUCAAUGCAAGUGCAAUUAUAGCGCCCCGUUGUCCCCCUUCGUGUAGAUAAAAUCUGCAUUGAGAUAAAUAUGCGCAAAGAGCAAACCAAUCACCGAUAAAUUCUGUGUGACAACGGCGAAAGGAAGAUCCUGGGUUCUGGGUCCCAGGUCCUGGGGCCAAACCACGAAAAGAAAUCAAUUUCCUGUGACUCGACUCCAAACAUUCGACUCCAUUUCUUGCGAUUAUCCUGAUGUUUUUCCCCGUCCCCAACUCUGCUCCUUUUUUUCCCCUGAUUUUGUUAUACGGCCUCUGAAGGACCUCCCCGCAUCCCGGACACAUUUGCCGCCCCAAAAACUUGUCGAGUCGACUAAACCACUCAAGGCUAUAUAGUCAUAUAGCCGAGGACAUGCAAAGGAAUAUGUUUCUCCCCCAUAGUGCCCAUAUCCUGCAGUAUAUUUAAAUGUUUGUGUGUGCGUGUGCGGCGGGCUUUGUGUGUGUGUGGUUGUGUUAGUGCUUUUCACUUCCUAUUACCAAGGUAAACAAAAAUUUUAUUACCUUUUUAUGAGCAUGCCGGAGUCACAAUGUCGCAGCCAGUUGCCAGUCCGCAAUCCGUGACAGACAAAGAGCCGGGGUCCUGCGGAUCGGGGAUUGGAACUGGGACGGGGACUUUGGGGCGGGCACAAAGAGUAAACUAUGCAUAAACCAUAAAAAUUGGUUGUAAAAACGCAGCAGAGUGCAGGGCGUGCUCGGCCUCCAGUUGUAUAAAUUCCAUUUGAACUGGCUAAAUUGAUUUUGCAAAUGAUGUCAGAGGCGCAGACAGAGAUGCAGAUAGGAUACAUUCGAACUUCAGCCGCCCACUCGCUCGCUCGCAGAUUAAUCAGUUUAAAUCCAGCCUUUCAUCUCGCACACCACACACACAAAACAUACACACACACCCCCAAUCGCACACUCAUGCCAUUCGCCAUGUGCCAUGUACCAUGUGGCAAGCCAUACAAAUGGCCUCUCGCUCGGAUCUUUAAUUUGGGAAUUAUCAAGGCUAAAUAAAUUUGCACAUUUUGCGAGAAUAUCUUUAUCCGUAUCCGUAGAUGAGCGCAAAUAAUUUACUUACUAUGCGCAAAAGAAGCAUUUGGUUGAGUCUCAACUACUCGAGUUCAAAAGCCAACCAGAAUUUAUACACAUUGAUAUGGCUCACAGUGGCUAUAUAUAGACGAAUUUGGCGAUGUGUAUAUAGCUUCGCAUACCUAUUGCGUGAGAGGGUAUAUUGAUGAGUCGCUCAAUAUACACUCAAAUGGUUUUAAAGUGUCUAAAGUGUUCUCCAUUUAAAUUUUACAACCUAAAAAUGUGUUGAAACUUCCCUAUGUAUGCGCAAUGUUUGAAAUACUUUUCAGCCUUCCAUUUAUGUUGAUGAGCUAGUGGGUACCCACUUCUCGACUACGCAUUCCAUCCACACAGCGUUUAUUUAUCCAUAUCUAUGACCAUCUAUUAGCACGCCUCAAGGUUGGCAAACAGCCGAAGAAAAUAAGAAAACUCUUCAUUGUUUUCGUUUCUGUUUGCUUUAGUGUUUGGCAAAGAUGGAGACGAGAAGUUUGUCUUUGCCGCUGCCUUAAUUAGUCACUUGUUUGGCAGUAUUUUGAAAAUAUUUCCAAAAUUUAUUUGCUUAAAAUAAUGUUGACUUCGGUCGACUGGCUUCACUUGGCUUUACACAUGGCUGAACUGGAUUAUUUGAAGAAUUAAUUUAGAGCCAAUUGCCAGUUUGGCAUUUGUUUCGCCGGCCAGUCAAGUGUGCCAAAUAUCCUCCUAAUUGGACAGCAUCAAUAAACAAAACUGCAGCGCUUUCAGGCUGAAAAAUAGAUAAGGCCGUCGCAGUGGGCGGGAAAUCUUAAAUUCAGAUUUAUCUUGCAAUUUGGCCAGCAACAAAUGGCAGGCGGCAUUGGCGAUGACACCGAAAUUGCAGUGCAGCAAACACACAUCGAGACCUUGAGCCACAAAUCCAGCGCUAAAUGUGGCAGAAAGCGCACAGUCCCCCAAUCCCCAAUCCUGGCCCCAUUUCGUAUAAAUAAACGGACGACUCUUGUGGCAUGCAACAGAGGCAUGCCUCGGAGAUUGAGUGGUAAUGAGUGGGGGCAGAAGACCACACUAACUGAAGAGCAGAAGAACAGAAGAGCAGAAGAAGAGUAGAGCCCUCUUCUCGAGGGCACGAGUCGGUUGUCUCGCCUGACGUGCUGGGCGUUCUUCCCCCAGAUUGCUGCAAUUAAUCAAAACCUCUUGAAAUUCUGCGGAAAAUGCAGGCAACUGAAAAUGUCAGUCGGAUAAACAGGGAGAAACCGGAUGAACCAAGGGGAUUUCAGCUCAGUUCUCCAAAAAGGGGCAUAAACUAUAGAACAAUGUGGCAAUAAAGCCAGCAAAGAGCUGAAUAUGUCAAGUAUUUACUUUGAUACUUGAAGUGAUCAUUUUUUAGAGUGCAACGAUGUUGGCUGGCUUUAAAAUUUAUACCGGGCUAAGGGGAAGAUAUAUGCCUGCACUUGUAUUUAUCUGUGGAACAUGUGUUUGCUGUUUGGCCAGCGGCUGGAUGUAAAAUUCUUUGUUUAAGUUUCAUUUCAUCGCGCCUAUUAAACAUUUUCUUGACGCCUCUUAUUGCCAUUGCAUCUGUGUUAGUGUUGGAGUGGGAGCGCGUUGGGGGUGGUUCAUAAUUAUUUGUGUUUAUUUUUAAUACAGCUGCUGGCAGGCUGCCUCCUCCACCAUUCCCCUUCCCUGGUCCAAUUUAUGCUUUGGCUUAAUUAAGAAAAAUAAUUAAGCAAUGUUGAAAUUUCGCAGAUUCUCUUAUUAGUUCUUUUACGGCCGAGCGGCACUAAAAAAACAUUUAAUUUGCAUGAAACUAAUUGUAUACACAACUCGUGUUCGGUUGGCAGUGAAUUCCAAGGCGACUGACUCAAUUGCAAGUGCUUCAUUCAUUGGUUCCGCUCGUAAGACCCGUAAACGAGUCUCGUCAGAAGUUUUCCACGAACUUUUCCCUGAGUCACGAGCACUUGCAGUCACUUUUAGUCUAGAGAACAGCUCCCCCGACCCCUGCAACUUAGUCAUCGGCAUCAUCUGUUCUUGGCUCCCAAUUGCUGUGUGAACCUAGCUGGAGAAGCAACAAUUGUAUUGGGGGCCACUGCCAAUGAGUCAACUCAUUUCAGCUCAUUUCAACUCAUCUGAUGGAAGUCACAUUCUCACGCAGCGCCGGCUGAAAACACAUGUUAGGUCAUUUCGGUGGAUCGCAUCGCAGAAUUAUUUACUCGCACGCGUUGCCUAUGCAAAUUUAAUUAGCGAGUGGCGUUCCCCGGCAACAAAGGCACCUAUUCCCUGGACCUUGGAGGGUACAUGGACUUGCUCGGAUGCUCUUCCAAUAGAAACAACGAAUCGUGAAAAAGGAAAUUACCUCACACUUAAAACUUGGGGUUUAGAGCGCAGCUUAUCCUGAUAAUGAUAUUAACUUAAGACCUCAAGGUGGCCACAUCUUUAUGUUGAUAAAUAUACUAUACUACUAUACUAAUAACUAAUGGUGAUUUGAUGAUAUGCAGAACCUUAUGCAAUGAUUUAGCUGAUCUAAUUUCCUCUGAUCCAAAUUAGACAAGAUCUCCAUGAAGCAAUGACGUAUAUAUUUAAGUACCUUGAGUAUGCUCUUCAGCCAGGCACUGUUGAUAUUUCGCAGGCGCUUAUGCUUAUGCUGCAAUCUCGGCCAGCAGCGAUUCGAUUAAGUGAAUCAUUGUGUGUCAGAACCCAUAUAAAUAAGUAAUCCAGAGCAGCGUAAGCUGCCUGUCAGUCACCCCACCCACAAAAAAAAGGCGGGAUGCCUUUGAAACUUAGCCGCUCCUCAAGUGUUUCAUCUUAGCAAACACCAAUCCCCCGCUUUCACCCCAAUCUGGUGUCAUUAGUCUGGGUUCGUUAUCUCUGCAAAUACCGCUGAUGUGAGUCGUGUAGCGAUUGGGGUUUUACUUUCGAUUGGAGGCUUGUUCUGAUAGUGAUCCGGGCAAUCGAUCAGCGGGCAGCGCGAGAUAAUCGAAAGAAUUUGAGGCUAUUUUUUAUUACGCGCUUGGCAUUUGCUCAUCGGAUCCCCGAUGACAUCAGCCCGAGAUUUGUUUUUACCCAGGCCAGAGCAAACAGUUAAAGGCAUUCAUAAACCAGUUUGUCAGUUUAUCAAAAAUAAUAUGCAUGCCCAGCCGCAUGAAUUAUAUAACACAGCGGAGAGAUGGGCGAGAAUACCAUCAUGAUAUACUCGUACCAUACCAUCAUGAUAUCAGCCAACGAAAAACAUUUCGCGUUAUUAGCAUAUUUUGAAUUCAAGGCGACAGUCAGCCAGUCAGUCACUCAGUCAGCUAGUCAGUUUGCCAGCGGCAGGUAGUGGAAAUUGAAAUUCAAUUUCGUUUUCUUUUCAAAUUAAAAUUUUGUUUGUGCAGGAAUUUGAAUAUCAAAUUAUGUCAUUUGUUUGCGAAGCUUUUGUUUAUAAGAAAAGCGCACAGAUCGACGGACAGCGACAGCAAGCCCAAAAUCUGUUUAUAAACAAAAAACUUGGUUUGGCUUCUCGCAGCGCGCCAAAAGCAGAAACUGGCCAGCAGAAACUCUCAACUGGCAACAAACUGCUGCAACUUGUCUUUUCGUACAUAUAGAUACUCGUAUAUUCGUAUAUAUGUAUCUGGCCGGCUUUUGUGUAUAUAUAAAGCUGAAUUAACUCUGCCAUCGAUUUACUACGGACGCGCAUGACGCUGUUCAUAUUUUUAGAGUAACUGAACACAAGCAGAAAUCAAACUGGCUGCGCUGAUAAAUCAGUUCAGUCGGCUAACCAGUUUUUUGCUGCCUGUGCUGCCUAUGCGUUUAUUUUUCAUAUUUUUGUAUUUUACGAACGAACACACUUUGCAUGGUCGUGAGAAAUUCGCAAGUCAAAGCUCAAGACCGCUAAUUAAGCAGACAGUACUGCAGAUGAUGAUGACAAAGAACGGGCUGCAGAGAGUUGUGGGCCCACAUGCGUACACUGCGAGAAAUACAGAUUGCUGGUACAAAUUGCACUUGGUUCGAGAUAAAAACUAAAGCUUCACGGUGUAACGCAACUACUCAAGUUCCAAUCGGGAUCAAAGGCACUUACACACUUUAAACUGCUUUCAGAUCCUUGAGCCGAUAGUUGUGUACCCCGGUUUGUUAAAAGAAUUGACUUAAAAGAUACAAUUUAAAGGAAAGUUCUUCAUUAACAUUUUGAUUCAAGGAAUGCUAAUUAUACUGAGAUCCUACAAUUUCCCACCGUGGCCCAAACAAGCUCAAAACUUAUGUGGUCGCCACUCGUACAGCUGUGCAAGCUGGGCAAGCUGGCCACUCUGGCUGGGCCGUCAAUCAAAACGAAUGCUGGACAUGGCCAUAACGACUGCUCAGUGCAGCAGAAAUGGCAACAGCAGCAGUGGCGGGAAAAUGUUCUUUUUGGCCAACAUUUUUGCGAGGCUGACUGGCUGGCGGGUUGCGUAACCUUUUGGGCAGCCGUUUGCACGAGCAUUGCACACCGAAAUGCCAUUAGAAUAAAUUACAAUCAUGGCUUUAAUGAAUUUCUGACGCCGUGCACUUGGCUGAGAGAGCGAGAUGGACGGACGGACUGUGGCACAUGACUCAUUAGGGCAUCCGCUUUUGGCCAAGCUCCCCAGCGAGCAGCCAUUGACUAUUAACACAAAUAGGCGAAAUGACUGCCAUUGCGGUGUCGCUGGCAGGUGUUUCGGCUGGCAGUGCGGCAUUACCAUAUUUAAUAAGCCGAAAAAUUAUGCGACUUGAAUUACAAUUGGCCAAUGCACUUCCAUCUCUGCAGCGACAGCAGCGGGCCAGAGAUAAAGCCGCAAUGAAAGGCAUCCAAUAAAAGCCAAAUGGCUGGGAGAAAAUAUUUAUGCAGCUGUUACGGCAUUGGUGUGAAAGCCCUAAAAGGACUCGUCGCCCAAAAGGAACGAUAAUGAGAAAGCCACAAAAGAAGGAGACACCAAAACUGCCCAAAAAGAACCAAAUCAACCCUACAAUAUUAUUCCACACGAACCGAAGAAUGUUACAGUGUCCUUUGAUAAAUAAAGUGAGUACUUUCUAGGGUCUUUUUCUCAGUGCACAUACAAAUAUUCUCCCUCUUAUCUGUGAGUGAAAAUAAAAGAAAGGAGCUUGAAAGGCAUUAAAUUUCACUGCAGUUCAAGUGCCGAAUAAAUGCAACUUCUUACCAUUUAAGCCAGUUACAAGUUGUGCAGCCUGCACUAAAAUUAUAGCAUUUGGAGCACAGCACCAUAAAUAUUUCAUAAUUCACCCUCAGCCGGAAACACUUACAGAGUGUUAAGUUCUUCGUUACGUACGCCUUGAUUUAGUUGCCAUCCUAUUUUCGUAUUCAGCUUGCAUAAUAAUUAUAAAUAAGGAAGAGGGCUGCUCAGAGGGCGGCUCAGCUGAAUGAGGGGAGCUUAGCGGCGAGUUGCCGUAAAUGGGAAACUGUUUAGUGGCAUUUUCUUGGGAAACUCGACGUAGAGCUUUCGGGUGCUGUCUUGGCCUGGUCUAAUCUUUAAGCGGCUUAAAGUUUCAUGCAAAAACUCAAUUUGCCACAAUAACCUUCAGCUGGGGUGGCGGCAAAAAACAAAAUAGCAAAAAGUGGCACCCUCUUUCUGCAACCCCCACUGCGGCAUGCAAUUUCUCGUGUUAACGAAAGUUUUUUGUGGCCAACGAAAAAUUCGCUUUUCUUUUGUUUACUUUUGGCCGAGAGCUGAGAACUGAGCUAAAAAAGGCAGGAGGAAAAGCCAGCCAGCGACAACAUGCAACACGGAAGCAGGACGACGCCAGGCCUAGAGUCCUUGCACCGCCCAACCACCACCCAUCCUGCCACCCAUUCUGCCACCCAUUUCGCGUUUUUUCCCCCAUCGCGUGUUUUUGCUGAUAUUGCCACUAAACGCUGAGGCAUACUUUUAGGCGUCUGACUGGCGCGCCUACAUGACGUCGCACGUUUCCUGUGCCAGGAGCAACAAGAAAAAACAAAGGCGAAAAAAUAAAUAUACUAGCAGGAGGGCAACAACAACUGGGGCCCAAAAAUAAUAAUAAUAGCAGUAAUAAUAGGAGACGGGCCAACGGCCGCGGCGGCACUAAAUUCGAAAAUAAAAGGAAGCUUCACUCCUGUGUGCUAAGUCCUGCGUCCUAUGUCCUGUGCCCCGUGUCCUGUGUUCAGCGUUUUUCCCGGCAACCGCCGCUCUUCGGCAACUAGUUUAUGAAAAGCACUAAACUUUGCCCGCUCUUUUUGUUGCAUUUUCCCACUUUUCCCCCUUUUUUUCCAAUGUUUUCCUUUGUGGGAGGCGCGGCAGGUGUUGCCAAUGUUGUUGCACAUGAGCAGUGUUGUCAUUUCAGCCUUAAAGAGUUGAAAAACAUUGGGAACUUAAACAUAAGCUUGAAUGGGUAAAGAAAAAUGAAGUCCUUCUUGUAUGCCUUCUUCUAUAAGGCAUAUUAUUCGGAAUUCGUUUUCCAUCACCCAAUUUCUCGCUCUGCACUUUAUGUCUUCCUCGCUGGUAAAGGUUCAAUAGUUGGUAGGAUCAACUUUAUGGCCAACUUCUGAUUUUUCCACCGAAUGCCAUUUAUUGUCAUCGCUGCAUAUGUGCUGCCUCUGCUGUGUUGUCUCUCUCUAAGGACGUCUACCCGUCUCUGUCUCUGUGCGGCACGGUGUUUAUGGUGUUGGGUGUUAUUGUGUUUGUGCAGUCGAGCUUGACACCCCAAAACAUGGCCACAAAACGCCACCACAGCAGUCACUUAAGAGUCACGUCCUCGUCCUCGGCCUCAUCCUCAUCCUCUUGGUGGCUCUUGUCCCGGGUUCCCGGUUCGCCAGCCACAUCCUCGCAUAGCUCCUCAUCCUGUUCCCGCUUUUGGCCCGUGUCGUGCACUUGGCCAACGACUCCUGCCUGAUAAUGAUCAAGGCGACCAGCCGUUAAAGUUGUGCCAUUGUUGUUGUGCAACCUCUCUCUAUGUGUGUGUGUGUGUGUGGUGUGUGUGAAUAUGUAUGGGUUUAGGGUCCUUGCUCCGUUUGUCUUUUGUAAUUGCUUGAAUUGAUGGCGAUGGCAAAGGGUGUUGGGGUGGCUUUCAGGUGAGCUUUGCGGCGCCAUUUUUUGGCCAGCAAUUUGCAAAUUGUUUUGCAGCAACAACAACAACAACUACGGCGAGAGUGAACUAAAACAAAAAGGAUUUAGUGGCAGGACGAGGCCGCUUAAAGGGCCUCUAUGCAUGACUCCAUUAAACAGAAGUGUGCAGCCAUAACCCUCGUCGCCUGAAAUAUGUACAAUUUUCCGUUGCAUGGCCGCCGGCAACGCUUCAAUGGAGGGGCUUUAAAAGCGUUGAAAGGGACACAAAGGGGGAGUGGGAGCCGCCCCAUGCCCAACAUGGCCAACCCCUCCAACUGUCUGGCACUAAAGUUAUACAAAUUAAAAUUCAAUUGUCUGCAGGCGGCAUACAAUGCAGCCUCAACUUCUUUUCACUGCGAAAUGAGGUUAGACAACUGCAGUGGGGCGGGAUUUUCACAGGAUUCAGGACUCACGAUUCAGGACUAAGGACUCGGGACUCAGGAGGUGGAACUUCGACUCAGGACAGAGACAGCAACCAUAUGGCUGCAGGCGGAAAAACUAAUGCAGUCGCAGGCUUUGCAUGCAAUUUGCAAUUUGCACCCCUCUUUAAGCUUUAAGCGGUUACUACCCCACCGCCCAACCGCCCAACCACCCAACCACUUUCCAUUUUGCGAUUGCUGGCAAGACAAUGAACUUUCUAAGCCAACAGAGCCGGAGGGCCCGAAACCCAGAGCUCAUCCAUAUUCCUGUAGCCACUAUCAUGACGUCGUCAUCCCGGCAAUGACAAACCACAGUAUCGCGUGCCCUGCCGUCUCUUUCCCUCCCCGCAUAGCCCCUCUCUUUCUGUUUGUCCAGCCUUGCAGUUGAUGACGUCGAUUGUUGAUUGGGGAGUGCCCUGGGUUCUGGGUUCUGGGCUCUGUGUUCUCAGUUCUGGGGAAUGGUGUUGGUAUGGGAAUGAGUCUGGGUCUGGGUCACACCCCUUUGGCUGGUUUUUGUGCCCGUGAAAGGGUUCCCGGCCGGGCUGACAUGUGGUUUGUUGUCUUUAGUCAUUGCCCUCACUGUCUGCCGACUGCCACGCCCCCUCUUCUGGGUGGGCAGCGGCUGGUGGGUGGUCGUCGGUGGGCGAUGGACAGUGUUUAUUUGCCGGCUUUGGCUCAGUUGCCUUGUGCUCCCAUGAAUGCAUUUGGCCCACGAACGACGGAGCAGCACAUGUUGUUGUUUGGCCAAGAAAUUUGCAUUUCUGCCAGCCGCCAGGACAAUGCAGUGACUCUCGAUGAAAAGUGUUUAAAGCUUGCCAAAGAGGGCUUUAAGUAACGCAAGUGGCUUAGAAAUUGGACACCAACCUGCAAUGAAAAGAUGAAAAGGAAACGUUGGCAUAAGUUUCGAAUGUAUAUUUACAAAAGUUAUAUUAUUAUUUCUUAUUUGUAUAUAUGGUUUUUAAAUAGGAAUAUUAUACCAAUAUUUUUUGAUUUCAGGCGUACAAUUUAUGGUCUUAAAUUCGCGUUGGCGAAAAUACAAUAAUUUAACAGUAUCUUUGUUUCAGCUUUAUUUCCAGUGCAGCAAAAAUAACAGUUUUGUUCAAUAAACUCGCAAAAAUAGCAAAGGGAAAUAUGGAAGAUUGCUUGACUAAUUGAAUGCCUAGCGGGCCAUUAAUUUGUACUAAGAGAAAAACAAUCAAAAUGUUGUGCCAGGCCCUUCGUUGCUCGAUUUGAUUACGGCUAAAAGGACUAAAGGCCGCAAAAUAUAUAGACACAACCAAGGUACAUCGAGGAAAACAAUCAAAGUGCAGCUUUCCGAAAGAAAAACACGACCAGAAAACGAGGGUUAAACAAACAGGACUCAGGACUCAGUGGGCAGGACUCAGUAGCCAGGACUCAGAACUCAGAGCUGAGGACACUGGGCAUGGAAAUGGACAACGCGAGGACUCGUCGCACAUCAUUGACGGUGUAACUGAUUUGGGCGGUCGAAGCUCGACUUUAUUUGCACUCGGGCCUCAUAAUUUUCGGCUUUAAUAAAUAUUGCAGGAUCUUACGGCACAUCGGCACAUGGAGGAAAGGCGCGUCCUUCCAGUUGCUUCACUUGUGUGCCUGUUGGCAAUUCUCAUUACUUGAGCACCAGAGAAGCCUUGAGGACACAUCCCACACAUACACACACACACAUACAGAAAAAAGCAACAACUGUGGCUGUAAUAGAGUUUUCGUUUUCGCGCUCGUU